GCAUCAACCUGUGCACCAAAGGGUCUAGGGUUUGAUACCAGUCAAUGGCGUGUACCUCAGUUGCAGGGUGCAUGCAAGAGGCAGCCAAUUGAUGUAACCCUCUCAUGUCAGUGUUUUAUCUCUUUCCCCCUCCUCCCUCCCUUCCAUCUCUCUCAAUAAAUGGAAAAUAUAUCUUCAGGUGAGGAUUAACAGCAAUAACAAAAACUGCUACAGAAAGGCAUGCCACAUAACAGAACCAGUUACCUUGAGAUGCAGUGUGAUCAGUUCAGUUUGAUUAUGCGCUAAUCAUUCACCAAACACUGUUAAUCAGCAGUGACUCUUGGAUGUAGAUAUGUAGCAGACUAUAGUUGUAGGUAUAUAAUAUUUAUGUUGGCAAAUUACUACAGUGUGGUGGUGGUGUUGUUUUCUAAAUAUGGCCUAUUCGUUAAAAUUUGUUAAAAAUAAUACGAAAAAUAACCUGUCAAUUUAAUUAUAAGCAAAUCUUCGUUAAAAACAUUUUAAAAUUAACAGGAUGUUAAUUUUAACAUUUGACAUACGGACCAGAAAUUCUGUCCAUUAAAUCCCAGUCUGUUAAAUCGAGGUCUCCAAAAUGGAGGGUUUGCUGUGUUUUGAAAUGUAUAAAAGGAAGCUGAAGUUGGGUGCGUGGUCAACAAAUAGAAACAUGGCCCAUA
Long non-coding RNA from Pipistrellus kuhlii (Kuhl's pipistrelle), 671 nucleotides. RefSeq lists it as uncharacterized. The record is from RefSeq and is a predicted model, not a curated record. The transcript has 2 exons. Lineage: Eukaryota; Metazoa; Chordata; Mammalia; Chiroptera; Vespertilionidae.